RNAcentral lists this ribosomal RNA (459 nucleotides) under uncultured Weissella sp. RNAcentral's name for it is "partial 16S ribosomal RNA". It matches the Rfam family "Bacterial small subunit ribosomal RNA", at positions 341 to 792 of the family's 1533-position model. Lineage: Bacteria; Bacillati; Bacillota; Bacilli; Lactobacillales; Lactobacillaceae. The record is from RNAcentral.
ACGGAAGGCAGCAGUAGGGAAUCUUCCACAAUGGGCGAAAGCCUGAUGGAGCAACGCCGCGUGUGUGAUGAAGGGUUUCGGCUCGUAAAACACUGUUGUAAGAGAAGAAUGACAUUGAGAGUAACUGUUCAAUGUGUGACGGUAUCUUACCAGAAAGGAACGGCUAAAUACGUGCCAGCAGCCGCGGUAAUACGUAUGUUCCAAGCGUUAUCCGGAUUUAUUGGGCGUAAAGCGAGCGCAGACGGUUAUUUAAGUCUGAAGUGAAAGCCCUCAGCUCAUCUGAGGAAUUGCUUUGGAAACUGGAUGACUUGAGUGCAGUAGAGGAAAGUGGAACUCUAUGUGUAGCGGUGAAAUGCGUAGAUAUAUGGAAGAACACCAGUGGCGAAGGCUGCUUUCUGGACUGUAACUGACGUUGAGGCUCGAAAGUUUGUGUAGCAAACAUGAUUAGAUACCCUGGUA